GGUCUGAACUGAUCCUGCCUGCAGCUCUGAUAGAGGAGCUCAGCCCAGGUUUCCCAGGUCCUUAUAUUCAGUGAUCAGAACUGCACAGACUGCACACCAUGGACUUCAGCAUCAGCUUGGUUUUCCUUGUCCUCAUUUUACAAAGUGUGCAGUGUGAGGUGCAGCUGGUGGAGUCUGGGGGAGGCUUAGUGCAGCCUGGAAGCUCCCUGAAAGUGUCCUGUGUAGCCUCUGGAUUCACGUUCAGUAGCUAUGUCAUGCACUGGUUUCGCCAGGCUCCAGAGAACGGGAUAGAAUGGCUUGCAUACAUUAAUACUGAUAGUAGUAGCACCCACUAUGCAGAAACUGUCAAGGGCCGAUUCACCAUCUCCAGAGACAAUGCCAAGAACACCGUGGACAUGCAACUGAGCAGUCUGAGGUCUGAGGACACUGCCAUGUAUUUCUGUGCAAGAGAGAGACACAGUGAAUAA
Non-coding RNA from Rattus norvegicus (Norway rat), 467 nucleotides. The record is from the annotation of a RefSeq genome assembly. NCBI's taxonomy places the organism in Eukaryota, Metazoa, Chordata, Mammalia, Rodentia, Muridae.